RNAcentral lists this transfer RNA (73 nucleotides) under Panacibacter microcysteis. It matches the Rfam family "tRNA". Rfam says of the family: Transfer RNA (tRNA) molecules are approximately 80 nucleotides in length. Their secondary structure includes four short double-helical elements and three loops (D, anti-codon, and T loops). Lineage: Bacteria; Pseudomonadati; Bacteroidota; Chitinophagia; Chitinophagales; Chitinophagaceae. The record is from Rfam by way of RNAcentral.
GGACGAAUAGCUCCAAUUGGCAGAGCAUUGCGUUGAAGCCGCAACAGUGCCGGUUCGAACCCGGCUUCGUCCA